Molecule: long non-coding RNA, 499 nt
Filed under: Nicotiana tabacum (common tobacco)
Lineage: Eukaryota; Viridiplantae; Streptophyta; Magnoliopsida; Solanales; Solanaceae
Description: long non-coding RNA (NTAB_LNC010379)
Source: RNAcentral
GUUGACAUACAAGUUGUCUAGCACAUGUAUACACAUGUACUACAUCAUAGCUAGCACAUGUAUAUGAGUUGUAUAGUAGGUGUAAUACAAGUUGUGUAGCACAUGUAUACAAAUGUACUACAUCAUAGCUAGCACAUGUAUAUGAGUUGUAUAGUAGGUGUAAUUAGGUGUAUGACAACUAAUAGAUUAGGUGAAUUAGUAUUAUAAAUAGGUCUUGUAAUCUUCUCUUCUAGAUAUGAAAUAUAGAACUUCUUUGGUUUCUAACAUGGUAUCAGAGCAUUGAAGUUUUUUCAUCAGUUUGUUGUUGGGAAUUUUUUUUUCCCCGUUCGAAUUAUUUUUGUUCAGAACAGUCUUUCGCUGCUUUGAUUCUAUUUCACUAUUUCCGGCCAUUUUUUGCCCCGGCCGCUUCUUUACAGAUUUUUCUACUCACUAUUCCGACCAAAGUGGUACUGUCAGAAUUUUUUUUCCUGACAACUUUCAUUUUCCAAGAUCACUGUUC